Molecule: ribosomal RNA, 208 nt
Filed under: uncultured bacterium
Lineage: Bacteria
Description: partial 16S ribosomal RNA
Rfam family: Bacterial small subunit ribosomal RNA
Source: RNAcentral
CGCGUAGGCGGAUAGUUUAGUCAGAGGUGAAAGCCCAGGGCUCAACCUUGGAAAUGCCUUUGAUACUGGCUAUCUUGAGUACGGGAGAGGUGUGUGGAACUCCGAGUGUAGAGGUGAAAUUCGUAGAUAUUCGGAAGAACACCGGUGGCGAAGGCGACACACUGGCCCGUUACUGACGCUGAGGCGCGAAAGCGUGGGGAGCAAACAG